UUCGUAGGCGGUGCGGCAAGUUGGGAGUGAAAUCCCUGGGCUUAACUCAGAGGCUGCUUCCAAAACUGCCGUGCUCGAGUGUGGGAGAGGCGCGUGGAAUUGCAGGUGUAGCGGUGAAAUGCGUAGAUAUCUGCAGGAACACCCGUGGCGAAAGCGGCGCGCUGGACCACAACUGACGCUGAGGAACGAAAGCUAGGGGAGCAAACAGGAUUAGAUACCCUGGUAGUCCUAGCCCUAAACGAUCAGGACUUGGGGUGCCGCCCGUUCGGGCGUCGUCCCGGAGCUAACGCGUUAAGUCCUGCACCUGGGGAGUACGGUCGCAAGACUGAA
RNAcentral lists this ribosomal RNA (330 nucleotides) under uncultured bacterium. RNAcentral describes it as "bacterial SSU rRNA". It matches the Rfam family "Bacterial small subunit ribosomal RNA", at positions 568 to 898 of the family's 1533-position model. The record is from RNAcentral.